UUUCCCUUUUACUGAAAUCUCAGACCACAAUAUUAAAAAGGGGAAUAAAAACAAAAAAUAUUGGGUUGCAUAAAACAUAUCACAGAGAAAGCCAUUCCAAUUGAUGAUAUUAGUGUCUCUAGCCAAUGCUUAUUGCUUAAUAAAAUAUAUCUAUGAUGAAUAAUAUUUUCAUUGACUAAUUUCUUCUAGUUCUUUCUCAAAGGGAAAUAGCUUUACAGUGAGAAAUUUUACUUUUACAGGUGUUGAA
This 247-nucleotide unclassified non-coding RNA is filed under the name Hevea brasiliensis (rubber tree). Lineage: Eukaryota; Viridiplantae; Streptophyta; Magnoliopsida; Malpighiales; Euphorbiaceae. The record is from RNAcentral.